AACGAACGCUGGCGGCAGGCUUAACACAUGCAAGUCGAACGCCCCGCAAGGGGAGUGGCAGACGGGUGAGUAACGCGUGGGAACAUACCCUUUCCUGCGGAAUAGCUCCGGGAAACUGGAAUUAAUACCGCAUACGCCCUACGGGGGAAAGAUUUAUCGGGGAAGGAUUGGCCCGCGUUGGAUUAGCUAGUUGGUGGGGUAAAGGCCUACCAAGGCGACGAUCCAUAGCUGGUCUGAGAGGAUGAUCAGCCACAUUGGGACUGAGACACGGCCCAAACUCCUACGGGAGGCAGCAGUGGGGAAUAUUGGACAAUGGGCGCAAGCCUGAUCCAGCCAUGCCGCGUGAGUGAUGAAGGCCUUAGGGUUGUAAAGCUCUUUCACCAAUGAAGAUAAUGACGGUAGUCGGAGAAGAAGCCCCGGCUAACUUCGUG
RNAcentral lists this ribosomal RNA (431 nucleotides) under uncultured bacterium. RNAcentral describes it as "partial 16S ribosomal RNA". It matches the Rfam family "Bacterial small subunit ribosomal RNA", at positions 29 to 507 of the family's 1533-position model. The record is from RNAcentral.